RNAcentral lists this ribosomal RNA (482 nucleotides) under uncultured bacterium. RNAcentral's name for it is "partial 16S ribosomal RNA". It matches the Rfam family "Bacterial small subunit ribosomal RNA", at positions 30 to 507 of the family's 1533-position model. The record is from RNAcentral.
AUUGAACGCUGGCGGCAUGCCUUACACAUGCAAGUCGAGCGGUAACGGGCCUUCGGGUGCCGACGAGUGGCGAACGGGUGAGUAAUACAUCGGAACGUGCCCGAUCGUGGGGGGUAACGAGGCGAAAGCUUUGCUAAUACCGCAUACGAUCUACGGAUGAAAGCAGGGGACCGCAAGGCCUUGCGCGGACGGAGCGGCCGAUGGCAGAUUAGGUAGUUGGUGGGAUAAAAGCUUACCAAGCCGACGAUCUGUAGCUGGUCUGAGAGGAUGAUCAGCCACACUGGGACUGAGACACGGCCCAGACUCCUACGGGAGGCAGCAGUGGGGAAUUUUGGACAAUGGGCGCAAGCCCGAUCCAGCCAUGCCGCGUGCAGGAUGAAGGCCUUCGGGUUGUAAACUGCUUUUGUACGGAACGAAAAGCCUUCUUUUAAUACAGGAGGGUCAUGACGGUACCGUAAGAAUAAGCACCGGCUAACUACGUG